This is a non-coding RNA of Pelobates cultripes (western spadefoot toad), 612 nucleotides long. The record is from the annotation of a GenBank genome assembly. NCBI's taxonomy places the organism in Eukaryota, Metazoa, Chordata, Amphibia, Anura, Pelobatidae.
CCCACACUAAAGGACGGUCAGUCAAGCUGCAUGUGUGGGAAAGGUUUGUUAUUCUCAGGGUGAAAAGGAUAAGUUAUAUAUAGACAAAUGGGAUACAGCUGGUUAUCUAAAAAAGAACCAACACGAAUAUAGUGUGAUACCGUUCUAAAAUGGACAUAAAUAUAGUGUGAUACAGUUAUAAAAUGCACUAAUUACACUUUUAUUGGGUGCUUUUACAAGAUGUAUGGUAGUUAGCACUCAAGCUGCCUCCCCGAUGGUAAUGGGGGGUAAUUUUAUAACUGUAUCACACUAUAUUCAGGUAAAUUCCUUUUUAGAUAACCAGCUGUAUCCCAUUUGUCUAUAUAUACCUAUAACUUGCUUAAAGGACAACUAUAGUGCCAGGAAAACAAACUUGUUUUCCUGGCACUAUAUGGUCUUUAGGUCCCCCCCACCCUCAGGGUCCCACUCCCACCUGGCUGAAGGGGGAAGAAGGGGUUAAUCACUUACCUUUCUCCAGUGCCGAGCUCCCUCAGCGCUGGGGAAAUCUCCUCCUUUUUCCGUCAGCAUUGAAUGCGCAUGAGUGCUUUCCUAUGGACGGAAGCGUCUUCUCACUGUGAUUUUCACAGUGAGAAG